GAGGAAACAGAAUGAGAAUCUGAUGAAGGGCCUGAAAAACACUUGACGUCUCCUACAACUGCUUGUUGUUCCAAAGAAAAGCUCAGAGUAAACUCCUGCGUUAUUGAAGCAGGAUGGAAGGUAACUAAUUACAGUCUAAUUUACUCCAUCAUCAGUGUUUCUGCAGACAUUUGGGUGUGUUGGUGUGUUGUGUUAAGGGCAUAAGUAGCCUGCUCACACAUGGUUGCAGAAAAUCAACACCGAUCAUUAACCUCUCACACACAUAAAUCCAGACUGUUCACUGAAGGUGUUUCUGACAUAUGGAUUCUCAUGUACUGCACAUUUUUAAGCACUUAUACUUUACUUGCGUGUUUACUUCAUUCUUCUACUCCUCAUUUCAGAGGGAAAUACUGUACUUUUUACGCCAUUACAUUUGUCAGACAUACAGACAGGGUGACAAAUUAAAAGAAAAAGCAGCAUGUGGUGUCUCAGUAAACCUCCACAACAGCUACAAUGGUCCCUGGCAUAAACUCUACAAGUCUCUGUAACUCUGCUGGAGGAACAAACACCCUUCCAUAACAUAUUCUCUCAUUGAGUCUUUUAUUUUAUGAGGGUUUAUGAGCUGUAUUGCUGCUGUCGUUUUUUGUGUGUUGAAAAUCCCACAAAUAAAUCAUGCAGUAGCUGUAAAAAAAAAAAAAAAAAAAAAAAAAAAAAAAAAAAAAGAUAUUCCCUAAUUUGCUAUUUUUGACAAUGGCAGUGGACAGGGGGUGUGACAGUUAUUUAGUCCUCUGUUCAUAGGACAUUAUUAUUACCAUACAGAAAAAAGUCUGAGAAAAUAUUAGAAAUGCUCCUUUUGCAGGGGGCGGGUCGGUGUUUGAUUGACAGCAGGUGCGCUCACGAGACAAACUAAAGAAACUUCCGGGCAGGCAGCGUGCUCUCACCAUAGACUGUAUGGUUCUCGGUGGAACUGAGAAGGUGGUGCACCGGCGUCUCACCGGGCCCAGGUGACGUUUGCAGCAGCCCCUACCUGCACGAGUAGCUGAGGUUUCGCCUGAUGCUCCUCUUGAAGAAGCUCUUGCAGCCCUCGCAGGUGAACACGCCGUAGUGCUUCCCACUGGACUUGUCACCGCACACCACGCAGUCCACCACGCAGGCCUUGUCCUCAUCCCCGACGUCCACAUCACUGCUCCCAGCCUGGGGCGAUCCGUCCUCUUCCUCCCUCCUCAGACCCCUGCUGUUGAGAAGGAGGUGGACAGCUCUUCACCUCCCAUGUUCCUGAGCUGAGAUGAUGGACUGUCAGGCUGCUGCCUGUCACCAGCUGCCUCUGAUGAGAGGAAAAAACAGCCUUACUCUGCCCUAAGAUCUGCAGGCGGUUACCCGUUCACAUGGUUUACACAGUAUUUGUACUCACCUGUUCAGUCGUUCUGUCUCGGACUCCGGGCUGACAGGGCUGGGACAAGGACUGCCUGAGUGAACGGAGCCCAAUGGGGAGCCAUCCCCACCAGUGGACAGAGGUGUUAGACCUCUGGCUGUCCUCCUGCGGAG
This is a long non-coding RNA of Lates calcarifer (barramundi perch), 1524 nucleotides long. RefSeq lists it as uncharacterized. The record is from RefSeq and is a predicted model, not a curated record. Lineage: Eukaryota; Metazoa; Chordata; Actinopteri; Centropomidae. The transcript is spliced from 5 exons.